UAGCCGGGGCCCACUUACUCUGCUUGGGAAACAUACGACAUUUCUGGGUUAGUGAUUCAUUUCAUCUGGGACCUCAGGGUGCCCUGCUGACAUACGAUACAGUAGUCUUUGCAAGGAGCCCACAGGCAUUUCUUCAUUAAGUCCUGAGUGUCAGGGAGGCCACCCAGAAUGGAGAGCUGGGCCUGGGCAGAAUUUGGAGUUGGGUGCAUUGGCUGGAGCCCCGGGAGGCCUGGGUGCGGCUGUGCCCUGCUGGCUGCCCUGCAGGGACAGCAGACAGGGAGGCGGGCUGGAGCCGCCGCAGUGCACUCUGCCUGCAGGAGCUUUCUUGCUCACCUAGAGCCCAGGAGAAGGCUCCUACCAGAAUAUAACUCUAUGUGGACAAGGACUUGUCCACUUCUUCACUGAGGUGUCCCCACCACCAAGCACAAUGCCUGGUACAGGAUGAAGAUCCUGAAGCAUAGAGAUGUCGACAGACCAUUUGCUCAAGCAGCCCUACCCCUGAAGGUGUAUUUAAAGAAUCGGACAAAUAAUUAUUUGUGUAUGGGGGACACAGCUUAGUACUAAAAUGCUAGUCCAAAAUUGCAUGUAAAUUGGAAGGAGAGUGAUUUAAAUUAAGGAGUUCAGGGGUCCUAAUAUUUGUCAGGAGGAGGAAAUAAAUUAACUUUAGGGUUUAUUAAGUGCGCAUGUUAAAAUAAGUAGCAUAAUGGCUAAAAGAAUAGGCAUAUAAUAUAUAACUGAAACAAAUGGGAGUGAGGUGGGAAAAUAAAAUGAAAAAAAGAGAUAAAAGCCCUAAAAAAAUCUCAAUUACUCUCGGUGGAUGUGUUAUUGUUCAGAAAAUAUUCACUCUGUCUUCCCACCUUCCCCUGAGAGGAGUUUAGUUCCCCACUUCAUUGUUGUUGAGCUUGACUGCGUGUUUUAGCCAAUGGAAGGUGAGUAGCUGUUAACACAGGCCUUUAAAUGUCCUCGAAUAAUGUGGCUUUGUCUCAUGUGCUUCUGCCUCUGCCACCUGCCCCAGAAACCCUCGCUGCUUCAGCCUGGUCCAAGGAGAAUAGUCUUAGACUAUACCCACAAUAUGGAAUAACAAAAAGAUCGGGCAGAGCUGUAGCCUCAGAUCUGAGAAUGAGAAAUACAUUUUGUUGUUGUUAAUCCUCAUCCAAGGAUAUUUUUUCCAUUGAUUUUUUGAGAGAGUGGAGGGAGGGAGGAAGAGAGAGAGAAGGGAGAG
This is a long non-coding RNA of Myotis lucifugus (little brown bat), 1222 nucleotides long. RefSeq lists it as uncharacterized. Lineage: Eukaryota; Metazoa; Chordata; Mammalia; Chiroptera; Vespertilionidae. The transcript has 3 exons. The record is from RefSeq and is a predicted model, not a curated record.